RNAcentral lists this ribosomal RNA (433 nucleotides) under uncultured bacterium. RNAcentral describes it as "partial 16S ribosomal RNA". It matches the Rfam family "Bacterial small subunit ribosomal RNA", at positions 29 to 507 of the family's 1533-position model. The record is from RNAcentral.
AACGAACGCUGGCGGCAUGCCUAACACAUGCAAGUCGAACGAGACCUUCGGGUCUAGUGGCGCACGGGUGCGUAACGCGUGGGAACCUGCCCUUAGGUUCGGAAUAACUCCCCGAAUGGGGUGCUAAUACCGGAUAAUGUCUUCGGACCAAAGAUUUAUCGCCUUUGGAUGGGCCCGCGUUGGAUUAGCUAGUUGGUAGGGUAAAAGCAUACCAAGGCGACGAUCCAUAGCUGGUCUGAGAGGAUGAUCAGCCACACUGGGAAUGAGACACGGCCCAGACUCCUACGGGAGGCAGCAGUGGGGAAUAGUGGACAAUGGGCGAAAGCCUGAUCAAGCAAUGCCGCGUGAGUGAUGAAGGCCUGAGGGAAGUAAAGCACUACUAACCGGGAUGAUAAUGACAGUACCGGGAGAAUAAGCUCCGGCUAACUCCGUG